Molecule: non-coding RNA, 105 nt
Organism: Agrilus planipennis (emerald ash borer)
Lineage: Eukaryota; Metazoa; Arthropoda; Insecta; Coleoptera; Buprestidae
Source: Rfam
UGAGAUAGAGGGGUUUUAGUCGGUAGGUCAGAGGAUAUCUUCCUCGGGAAUCCGACACUACCCAGUCGUACGGACUGCUGGGUAUCUUUUGAAGAUUUCCCCUCU